UUAUUGAUGACUAUAUCCAUACAUGAUGUGAUUUUUGGAUGUCUUGAUAUAUGCCUGAUUUGCUUGAAUAAAACAAAUGUUGUGUGCUACAUUUCUACACUAACUUUUAUGUUUUAUGAUAGCACUUGAAGAGCGGUUCAGGUACGCACCUUAACUCUCCUUUAUUGCAAUUUGAUUGUGUUUGGCAUGCCACUCUCUAAAAUCACCUAGCCUAUGUAGGUAUCUAUAAUUAACGGAUUAAU
RNAcentral lists this long non-coding RNA (242 nucleotides) under Vitis vinifera (wine grape). RNAcentral describes it as "long non-coding RNA (VVIN_LNC003114)". Lineage: Eukaryota; Viridiplantae; Streptophyta; Magnoliopsida; Vitales; Vitaceae. The record is from RNAcentral.